UACAGGGGGUGCAAACGUUGCUCGGAAUCAUUGGGCGUAAAGCGCACGUAGGCGGUUUGUCGCGUCUGCUGUGAAAAUCCAGGGCUUAACCCUGGACCUGCAGUGGGUACGGGCAGACUAGAGUGCGGUAGGGGAGAUCGGAAUUCCUGGUGUAGCGGUGAAAUGCGCAGAUAUCAGGAGGAACACCGGUGGCGAAGGCGGAUCUCUGGGCCGUAACUGACGCUGAGGAGCGAAAGCGUGGGGAGCGAACAGG
RNAcentral lists this ribosomal RNA (253 nucleotides) under uncultured bacterium. RNAcentral's name for it is "partial 16S ribosomal RNA". It matches the Rfam family "Bacterial small subunit ribosomal RNA", at positions 524 to 776 of the family's 1533-position model. The record is from RNAcentral.